UACGUAGGGGGCAAGCGUUAUCCGGAUUUACUGGGUGUAAAGGGAGCGUAGACGGCUGAGCAAGUCAGAAGUGAAAGCCCGGGGCUCAACCCCGGGACUGCUUUUGAAACUGUCCGGCUCGAGUGCAGGAGAGGUAAGCGGAAUUCCUAGUGUAGCGGUGAAAUGCGUAGAUAUUAGGAGGAACACCAGUGGCGAAGGCGGCUUACUGGACUGUGUCUGACGCUGAGAUGCGAAAGCCAGGGUAGCGAACGGG
This 253-nucleotide ribosomal RNA is filed under the name uncultured bacterium. RNAcentral's name for it is "partial 16S ribosomal RNA". It matches the Rfam family "Bacterial small subunit ribosomal RNA", at positions 524 to 776 of the family's 1533-position model. The record is from RNAcentral.